RNAcentral lists this ribosomal RNA (479 nucleotides) under uncultured bacterium. Its description in RNAcentral is "partial 16S ribosomal RNA". It matches the Rfam family "Bacterial small subunit ribosomal RNA", at positions 28 to 523 of the family's 1533-position model. The record is from RNAcentral.
GACGAACGCUGGCGGCGUGCUCAACACAUGCAAGUUGAACGGAGUAUAUCUGAAGGGUAACCGGAGGAUAUAUUUAGUGGCGAACGGGUGAGUAAUGCAUGAGAACGUAUCCUCAAGAGGGGGACAACAUUGGGAAACCGAUGCUAAUACCCCAUAAGCCGGGAGGUAAAAGGAGCAAUCCGCUUGAGGAGCGGUUCAUGUCCUAUCAGCUAGUUGGUGAGGUAACGGCUCACCAAGGCGAAGACGGGUAGCCGGCCUGAGAGGGUGAACGGCCACACUGGAACUGAGAGACGGUCCAGACUCCUACGGGAGGCAGCAGUGGGGAAUAUUGGGCAAUGGGGGAAACCCUGACCCAGCGACGCCGCGUGAGGGAUGAAGGCCUUCGGGUUGUAAACUCCUUUCGCUAUCGACGAAGCCACUUGUGGUGACGGUAGGUAGAUAAGAAGCACCGGCUAACUACGUGCCAGCCGCCGCAGUAA